Cynara cardunculus var. scolymus (artichoke) is the source of this 506-nucleotide long non-coding RNA. RefSeq lists it as uncharacterized. Lineage: Eukaryota; Viridiplantae; Streptophyta; Magnoliopsida; Asterales; Asteraceae. The record is from RefSeq and is a predicted model, not a curated record. The transcript has 2 exons.
AAAGAUGGAACGGUGCUUCUCCAUUCUCAUCGUCGCCGGUGAUUCUGCUUCAUUAUCAUCUCUGCCUCUUCUGCGACGGCGUUUCCACUUUACUGCUACUGUAGUUUCCGGUCCCUGCAUGAUAAGAUGAACUGCUACUCUGCCGCAAGAACAGAUUCUUCCGUAAGAAAGGCUAAUUGGAGGGGAUCAAAAAGGACCUGAAGGGUCCAAUAGAAAAUUACAGCAGAAAAUGUUGAAGCUGUAGGUGAGGAAGCAAUAAGAACGAAAUGACAACGGUUAGGAGACUGCACGCGUGGGGGUGAGAUGCCUCUUGGUUAUUUUAAGCAAGGAACCGUUCACCAGCACAACUUGGGUAAGUGUUAACCGGGUACGAAUGUGGUUAUGGUUAAGCGUUGACUAAAAUGGUUCUCUAUCAAUUGUUUUAUAGCAUGUCUUACCGAUUAAAUACAUACCUUUAUCAUCUAGUGAUGACCUAGUAAGUGAAAUAAUAAUGUUGACGGGUAGUA